CCUACGGGGGGCUGCAGUGGGGAAUAUUGGACAAUGGGGGCAACCCUGAUCCAGCCAUGCCGCGUGUGUGAAGAAGGCCCUCGGGUUGUAAAGCACUUUCAGUGAGGAAGAACGCCUGGUGGUUAAUACCCAUCAGGAAAGACAUCACUCACAGAAGAAGCACCGGCUAACUCCGUGCCAGCAGCCGCGGUAAUACGGAGGGUGCGAGCGUUAAUCGGAAUUACUGGGCGUAAAGCGCGCGUAGGUGGCUUGAUAAGCCGGUUGUGAAAGCCCCGGGCUCAACCUGGGAACGGCAUCCGGAACUGUCAAGCUAGAGUGCAGGAGAGGAAGGUAGAAUUCCCGGUGUAGCGGUGAAAUGCGAAGAGAUCGGGAGGAAUACCAGUGGCGAAGGCGGCCUUCUGGACUGACACUGACACUGAGGUGCGAAAGCGUGGGUAGCAAACAGGAUUAGAUACCCGAGUAGUC
Molecule: ribosomal RNA, 465 nt
Filed under: Vreelandella stevensii
Lineage: Bacteria; Pseudomonadati; Pseudomonadota; Gammaproteobacteria; Oceanospirillales; Halomonadaceae
Description: partial 16S ribosomal RNA
Rfam family: Bacterial small subunit ribosomal RNA
Source: RNAcentral